UCACAAUCUCAGUUCUCUAACCAAGCAAAAUUCCAGAAUCCAAAAAAAGACAAGAAAUCGUCAGCUCCUUGAAGACUCUAUCCUGCUACUUUCCUGCCGGAUUGAAGAAUACAUUUAGCACAAACUCCUUGUAAUAAAAAAAAAAAAAAAAAAGAAAGAAAUGUGCAGUCAGGGGAAAAGAAAAAUGACAAUGCAGCUAAGGUCAGCAAGAUAGAAAUUCAUUACUUUUCAUGCUUUGUCGAACCUAUGAGAACGGCUUCGUUUUAAAGAGAUGCAAAAUCUAGAUCGAAAUGCUAUUCAUUCGAGGGGCUAUGGCAACAAAAGGGGGGUCUGUGGCCUGGCCACAUAAACCUUGACCUUUAACCCUUUAUUUCAAUCCAAGAAACAAAAUGUAAAGUGCAAAUCUGGACUAUCAUAGGAAGGCUGAAUGCCAGCAAACGUUUGUCUUGGUCUGACCUAGCAAGAGGAUUUUUAUGAAACAGCAGAAGCCUUGGAAAGUGUCAUGUGACUCUUUUUUUCCUGGUAUGAACCAUGUGCCUGCGUAUCAUUUUGCUGUGAAAUACUAUGCGGAUUUCAGCCCAACCUGCCUCUGCUUCUAAGGCAUGACACGAGUCUGUGAGGGAGCAUGAGAACAGUUCUCCAUGAAAGGCAAGGUUUUCAUAGUUGGCCUGUAACCAUGGAAGCAGAUGCCUUUUUUUUUUUCCGCUUGCCCCUGCUUACCUCUUUGCAGCCAAGAGCUGCUCCCUUUUGUUUUGGGGGGGUACGCCUUGAUUUUUCCUUUACCAUGAGCGAACUUGCUUCUUCUUCAAAGGGCACGGUGAUGCAGGUCAUUGGUCUAGACUGUUUGAACGGUCGAGGGAACAGCCUUGAUGUAACCCUUGCUCCUUCAGAACCACACCACCAGCCGUGCGACUGCAGACUGUAGGGGGACAUUUGAGCUCUGUAUUGAAAAGGAGAUAGUCCGAUUUUGCCAUUGUGCCUUUUCACUCAUCGAUCGAAUGAAUAUCGAACCUUCUGUCGUUGCAUGUGUGAAAUAGAUAGCUUAGCAAGCACUUUUCCAACCAAACCUGAGCGUAUAAAGAAAUCCAAAGUUCUCUGCCAAAGUAAAACCACUUGAGGGUGACAGCCAGCACCACCUGCUCAGUCUGGGAGAGAAGUCUGAUAGUGAGGACUCAACAACCUGAUAUCAAAAUACCAAGAGGACUUAACCAAUCUUCAUGGUUGUGCUCUCAGUAUUAGACUUUGGUUGCCUCCAACGUGACUAGAAAGCCAAGCCGGAGCCGAACAAGGAGGGCUGAAGAGCAAACAACCUUUUGAACAAACUUACAAGAAACACAGUGUAUAAAAAUCUAAGAAGCUCAUUGGUAUGCCAGAAGCGGGUUGAUAAAGACGCCUGUAUCCACAGUUGGAGCCUGCAGGCACCAGGGAUUAUGGGUAUUAAGAAUAUUACCAUUUCACUAAAAUGAAGAAGAAAAACGAGAAGGUUUAACCUGCGAUAUGGAACUCAACAGUUGAGAAUGUUGUUAUGAUAUAAUUAUAAGCGGGGGAAAAAAUCUGAAUUUAUAGAAAUUUUUGAAUAUUUAAAUUAGAUUGUUUAGAGUUUAACAAAUCCCAAAAAUUUUGCAUCUCUUUAUAAUAUUAAAAUAAUGAC
Hyla sarda is the source of this 1651-nucleotide long non-coding RNA. RefSeq lists it as uncharacterized. The record is from RefSeq and is a predicted model, not a curated record. Lineage: Eukaryota; Metazoa; Chordata; Amphibia; Anura; Hylidae. The transcript is spliced from 3 exons.